RNAcentral lists this ribosomal RNA (253 nucleotides) under uncultured bacterium. RNAcentral describes it as "partial 16S ribosomal RNA". It matches the Rfam family "Bacterial small subunit ribosomal RNA", at positions 524 to 776 of the family's 1533-position model. The record is from RNAcentral.
UACGUAGGGUGCGAGCGUUGUCCGGAAUUAUUGGGCGUAAAGAGCUCGUAGGCGGUUUGUCGCGUCGGCCGUGAAAACUUGGGGCUUAACUCCAAGCUUGCGGUCGAUACGGGCAGACUUGAGUUCGGCAGGGGAGACUGGAAUUCCUGGUGUAGCGGUGAAAUGCGCAGAUAUCAGGAGGAACACCGGUGGCGAAGGCGGGUCUCUGGUCCGAUACUGACGCUGAGGAGCGAAAGCGUGGGGAGCAAACAGG